UGAGCAGGCCGGAUGGCCGCGGGCGCAGCGCCGCAAGGCCGCGCCUGAGGAAAGUCCGGGCUCCGCAGGGCAGGGUGCUGGCUAACGGCCAGUGGGGGCGACCCUAAGGAAAGUGCCACAGAAAUGAAGACCGCCGCGCCGGCGGCAAGGAUGCAACGGUGAGGUAAGAGCUCACCAGCGGCCAGGCGACUGGCCGGCUAGGUAAACCCCACCCGGAGCAAGACCUAGUAGGGGAAGGAUGAGGUCGCCCGCCGACUUCCCGGGAAGGUCGCACGAGGCGUCAGGCAACUGGCGUCCUAGAUAGAUGGUCAUCUUCAACAGAACCCGGCUUACAGGCCUGCUCAUGCG
RNAcentral lists this RNase P RNA (348 nucleotides) under Bacillota bacterium. RNAcentral's name for it is "RNase P RNA component class A". It matches the Rfam family "Bacterial RNase P class A". Rfam says of the family: Ribonuclease P (RNase P) is a ubiquitous endoribonuclease, found in archaea, bacteria and eukarya as well as chloroplasts and mitochondria. Its best characterised activity is the generation of mature 5'-ends of tRNAs by cleaving the 5'-leader elements of precursor-tRNAs. The record is from RNAcentral. RNAcentral also lists the same sequence under 1 other name. Lineage: Bacteria; Bacillati; Bacillota.